RNAcentral lists this ribosomal RNA (400 nucleotides) under uncultured bacterium. RNAcentral describes it as "bacterial SSU rRNA". It matches the Rfam family "Bacterial small subunit ribosomal RNA", at positions 28 to 432 of the family's 1533-position model. The record is from RNAcentral.
GACGAACGCUGGCGGCGUGCUUAACACAUGCAAGUCGAGCGGUAAGGCCCUUUCGGGGGUACACGAGCGGCGAACGGGUGAGUAACACGUGGGUGACCUGCCCUCAGCUCUGGGAUAAGCCUGGGAAACCGGGUCUAAUACUGGAUAUGACUCCAUGACGCAUGUUGUGGGGUGGAAAGCCUUGUGCGGCUGAGGAUGGGCCCGCGGCCUAUCAGCUUGUUGGUGGGGUGANGGCCUACCAAGGCGACGACGGGUAGCCGGCCUGAGAGGGCGACCGGCCACACUGGGACUGAGACACGGCCCAGACUCCUACGGGAGGCAGCAGUGGGGAAUCUUGCGCAAUGGGCGAAAGCCUGACGCAGCGACGCCGCGUGAGGGAUGACGGCCUGGUUCGUAACGU